This 500-nucleotide ribosomal RNA is filed under the name uncultured Glomeromycotina. RNAcentral's name for it is "partial small subunit ribosomal RNA". It matches the Rfam family "Eukaryotic small subunit ribosomal RNA", at positions 591 to 1092 of the family's 1831-position model. Lineage: Eukaryota; Fungi; Glomeromycota. The record is from RNAcentral.
CCAAUAGCGUAUAUUAAAGUUGUUGCAGUUAAAAAGCUCGUAGUUGAAUUUCGGGGCCAGUAAGUUGGUCGUGCCACUGGUAUGUACUGGCUUUACUGGUCUCUCCUUCUUGAAGAACCGUGAUGCCAUUAAUUUGGUGUUGCGGGGAAACAGGACUGUUACUUUGAAAAAAUUAGAGUGCUUAAAGCAGGCUUACGCUUGAAUACAUUAGCAUGGAAUAACGAAAUAGGACGCUCGAUUCUAUUUUGUUGGUUUCUAGGAUCGACGUAAUGAUUAAUAGGGAUAGUUGGGGGCAUUAGUAUUCAAUUGUCAGAGGUGAAAUUCUUGGAUUUAUUGAAGACUAACUACUGCGAAAGCAUUUGCCAAGGAUGUUUUCAUUAAUCAAGAACGAAAGUUAGGGGAUCGAAGACGAUCAGAUACCGUCGUAGUCUUAACCAUAAACUAUGCCGACUAGGGAUCGGAUGAAGUUAAUUUUUUAAUGACUCAUUCGGCGCCUUACG